UGAUCCAGCCAUUCCGCGUGAGUGAAGAAGGCCUUCGGGUUGUAAAGCUCUUUCAGCUGGAACGAAACGGACCGUCCUAAUACGGUGUGCUAAUGACGGUACCGGGAGAAGAAGCACCGGCUAACUACGUGCCAGCAGCCGCGGUAAUACGUAGGGUGCGAGCGUUAAUCGGAAUUACUGGGCGUAAAGCGUGCGCAGGCGGAUUGUUAAGCCAGAUGUGAAAUCCCCGGGCUGAACCUGGGAAUGGCAUUUUGAACUGGCGGACUAGAGUGUGUCAGAGGGGGGUGGAAUUCCACGUGUAGCAGUGAAAUGCGUAAAGAUGUGGAGGAACACCGAUGGCGAAGGCAGCCCCCUGGGAUGACACUGACGCUCAUGUACGAAAGCGUGGGUAGCAAACAGGAUUAAAUACCCUGGUAGUCCACGCCCUAAACGAUGUCAACUGGUUGUUGGGGGAGUGAAAUCCCUUACUAACGAAGCUAACGCGUGAAGUUGACCGCCUGGGGAGUACGGUCGCAAGAUUAAAACUCAAAGGAAUUGACGG
RNAcentral lists this ribosomal RNA (541 nucleotides) under uncultured Thiobacillus sp. RNAcentral's name for it is "bacterial SSU rRNA". It matches the Rfam family "Bacterial small subunit ribosomal RNA", at positions 384 to 916 of the family's 1533-position model. Lineage: Bacteria; Pseudomonadati; Pseudomonadota; Betaproteobacteria; Nitrosomonadales; Thiobacillaceae. The record is from RNAcentral.